RNAcentral lists this ribosomal RNA (431 nucleotides) under uncultured bacterium. Its description in RNAcentral is "bacterial SSU rRNA". It matches the Rfam family "Bacterial small subunit ribosomal RNA", at positions 29 to 506 of the family's 1533-position model. The record is from RNAcentral.
AACGAACGCUGGCGGCAGGCCUAACACAUGCAAGUCGAGCGCGACCUUCGGGUUGAGCGGCGGACGGGUUAGUAACGCGUGGGAACGUGCCUUUCUCUACGGAAUAGCCUCGGGAAACUGAGAGUAAUACCGUAUACGCCCUUCGGGGAAAGAAUUUCGGAGAGAGAUCGGCCCGCGUUGGAUUAGGUAGUUGGUGGGGUAAUGGCCUACCAAGCCGACGAUCCAUAGCUGGUUUGAGAGGAUGAUCAGCCACACUGGGACUGAGACACGGCCCAGACUCCUACGGGAGGCAGCAGUGGGGAAUCUUAGACAAUGGGGGCAACCCUGAUCUAGCCAUGCCGCGUGAGUGACGAAGGCCCUAGGGUCGUAAAGCUCUUUCGCCAGGGAUGAUAAUGACAGUACCUGGUAAAGAAACCCCGGCUAAACUCCGU